CUUUAUUUACCUCAUUUUAUGAUGAAAAAGUCAAUAACAUUUGUCUUGGUUUUUGUUGGUUUCUGGUUGACUUUCAACUCUUCAAUGAACCUCUUUAGUUUAGACACAGGUUAUUGUCUGAUAGUUACAGUUGAACAUUUACACUUUUUUUAACUUUCCUGGUUAAUGAUCAGAACUAUGAUGAAUUUUCAAUAAACUGACCUGAUCCACGAUAAUUAGAUUCAUUGAGGUGUUUAAAUAUUAUGAGAAGACAGUGAAUAACAAAAAAAAACAGUGAGUGGAAACAACUGAAUCGAUUCAUUGAAAACAAGUGAAGGAAGUUACUUUAAGAAAUGGUAAGUUGUGUGUGUAAAAGGUAAGUGUAAAAAAACGGGAAUACUUUUUUACCAUUUUAAAGAUGAAAGGUGAAUUAAGGUCAAAGGUUUGGAGGAAGGUUGGUAGAUAAAGUUAGGUUAAAAAGACGUUAAUUCAAAGUUAAGGUUAAAGUAUAAUUUUACCUACAAUUUAUAGCAAGUUUUACCGUAUAUACAGUAAAAAAAAGGGUGAAAAUAAUACAAUAAAAUGAAUGUUGCUUAAAGAAUCAGUUGGAAAAUGUUUCUCCAACAAUUUUAUCCUUCAUGAUUAUCAUCAUGAUUAACCUUAGACCAUUUUUCAAGUGUUAAUUCAAUUUCAUCAGUUUUUUUAUAAAACAUCUUCUUCAGUCUUUAAUUAAGAAACUAUCCCCCAAGGCUUCCGUUAUGUUACACUUUUUGCUUUGUUUUGAUUUAUUUAUGGUUUCUUUUUGUGUGUUCAGUAUUUCUUAUCUCUACAAAUCUUCUUUUAUUUGAUUCAGUGUAUUAACUAUUUAUAUCAUAACGUUAUGGAAUCUGAUUUACUUAAGGAAAUUCAAGUUAAUCAAGCAAUAGCAAUGAUCCAAAUGAAACCAGCUACUGAUUUAGCCAUCGAUGCAAGGUUGCUAUUUUUCUUCCUCUUCUCCAACCAAGGUCGACACUAUUAUGAGAACCUUAACUCAAUUGGAUAUUAUAAAAGGACUUGAUCAUGAUUUAACCUUUCAUUGUGACCUUAAGGAAUUGUUGAAGACAGUCAUGAUGCUUUGAUUAACUUCUCGCAAUUAUUGUACUGUUAAUGUAGGAAGAGACAGAUUAAGGAAAUGAAUAUGACUAUGAGAAAAACAAAACAAAACAAAAUAAUGACUCAGACAACGUUUAAUUUGUCUAUAUUUUGCCAUUGUUAUCAGGGUUAAUUAUCAAUUCAUUUGGUUAUUUAUACAUAAUAUUUUAUUAUGUUCAACGUGUUGCCUUUUCCGUUUCACCAAAUGUAAUAAUUUCUCAUGGCGUUAAAUUUACUUCAUCUGUCUAUUCAAUUCAUUUUGCUAAUGGGUUGUAACAGUAUAAUUUAACAAUUGAACUAUUGAUUAACGUUGCCUUGAAAAGUGCUAAUUUGGAAACUAAUGCAUAAGCUAAUCAAUAAUCCAGAGUGAACAUCGCCCUGUAACCUUGUUCAAAAAUCAAUGUUCAAUCUUACAUUGAAAACACUGAAAGCUGGGAAUACAAAUUUCAUUGAUCUGCUUUUAAAAUUCGAGCAACAAAACGUUUCGUUUAAAUUCAAGCCAAGAUGAAUUAAACUGUCUUUUUAAUGAGAAUCACAACUUUUUCUAAGAAUUGAUUGUUAAUUACGUUUACGAUUGAAAUGACCUUUAUUCAAUCAAGUUUGAUGGUCACAAUUGGUAAGUUUAUCAAUAGGAAAUCUGACGCACUUUUUUUUCUACCUGCGCUGUUGAUUGAAAUGAACAAUAAUAACAGUAUAAUCACCAUUAAACAUAUAAGAUACAGUUAACACUUGAAACACACAAUCUGACCUUACAUUGUAAAUGUAUAUUCUGAUUAAAAAAACAUUGAAAAUAAACGUAGCAAAAUACACAGCAGGAUCUACAUUCAGUUAAUCACAAUUUAAAUUGAUGAUGAUAGUUGACGAGAGGGCUACAAGGUUAAGUAGCAUUUGCAAAUGGUAAAAAUAUUUUUGGCAAAAUAUUGAAAAAUCUUUGAUGCCUUGCUAAUAGGCUAGUUAUUACCAAGAAUUACGUUUCCAGGUUUACUUGAAUUUUUAUUAUGGCCAAAGUUAAGUUUAUUGUUAAAAAUUGUUGAUAAAGUCCAGGUAAUCAAGAAGAUGCGAUUCGAUGUUGGUUUGCUGAGAAGAGAGUCAUUCUUGAUUUCUGGUUGAUCCUGGUAACUAUUAUGUUCAACAGUUGAUCUUGUAUAUGUGAUUGUUAUGUUGAUUGAUUUUGGUCUCAGUGUUGUUGACCAAAGUCACAAUUUGAUGAUACCAUCAACUGAAUCUUCAUUGCCUUCCAAUGUUCCAAUACUGUCAUCAUCAUCAGGUACCAGGUUAAUCAUGACUGUCCCAAAUCAUUCGGAUCUUGUCAGUAUCACCGGAGCUUUGAUCGUUUUCUCCUUUAUCUCAUCUUGUGUUAUAUUAACUUACAUAAUCAAUGGAUUCAAUCUGCUUUGGGAUAAGAUGAUUCACGGUGAGCUUGUACCUGACUCCAAAAGUGUUUUAUCAUCAUUCAUCACUUUCGCCUUUGGUCUUACCUUCUAUUUAAUUAAUGAGAUCUCAACACUUUACAUUAAUCUGAAGACCGGGUUAACUUCAUGGAUUAGGUGGAAAUCAAAAUCUUCUAGAUGGCCAAUAGCAACAACAUCUAUCUUUAAAAAACGAGUCUAAUCAACAAAAAAAACACACCAAGAAAAAUGCAUCGAUCAACCAAACCAUCACCACCACCAUAAUACUACUACCACUACCACCACCACUUUUAUCAUCACCACCUUUUGUUACUUCUUAAUCUUAAUUUUUUAAUCCGUAUCAAUUUCGCUCAAGAAAACAACCAACAGCAUUUAAUUGUUCAUUUCAAUUAUUUAUUGAAGCAAAUUGAAACACAUUAUGGAUCUUAAUUUUUUUUUAAAAAAAAUCUCAUCUCAAUACAAUACAAUUUCCUCUCGAUUACUUAUUGAGUUUUCGUGAUGAGAGUGAUAUUUUCACCUUUUAACAAUAUUCUCCCAAUUGGUUUCUUUGUCUGUGUUUUGUGAUAAACCUCUUCAGCGUCGUCUAAAACCAGGUUCAUGUAUUCAUCGAAACCAAUGAUGUGCCCCUCAAUGCGAAGAUUAACAUUCUCGUUCAACCAAACUUGAAUCCGAGCGCGAUUCUGUAAAUACCUGAAUAUCAGAUUAAUCGGUUGAACCAUAACUUUCUGAAUUUUUUGAGACGAUGUACCUCCUUUGUAAGACAUUGUUAUUUCAAUAUUUGGUAUGUCUGUCAACAAGAAAAGGAAAUUUGAGUUAAUACAAAGAAAAAUUGUCCAAACAAACAACUAAAUUACUUGUAGUGUUGAAAUUAGAUAAAUUGAAAGAUGUUAAUAUUAACUGUUACAAGAAUACAAACUAAAUUACCAAACACAGUUGAACAAGAAAUUUUAAAAUCAAAUCGGAUUCAUUUUCAACACAACCCAUCGCAAAGCGAAACCUUGGUUACUUGAUGUUACCACAAAGGAAAAGCGCCAAAUUUAUACUCAAAAAGGAAUACAAUUUUCAUCAAAAAAAUUCAUGGAUAAAAUUUUCUUUUAAAAGCAAAAUUAAUUGUUAACUUCAAUUAAAAACUUGUUCAACAGAAAUGAAGAACACUGGAAUAUUGUCUCUAAA
This is a non-coding RNA of Tetranychus urticae (two-spotted spider mite), 3692 nucleotides long. Lineage: Eukaryota; Metazoa; Arthropoda; Arachnida; Trombidiformes; Tetranychidae. The record is from RefSeq and is a predicted model, not a curated record.